UCUACGGGUGGCAGCAGUGAGGAAUCUUGGUCAAUGGACGCGAGCCUGAACCAGCCAUGCCGCGUGCAGGAAGACGGCCCUAUGGAUUGUAAACCGCUUUUGUCCGGGGGCAAAAGCCGCUACGUGUAUCGGUCCGAAAGUAUCCUAAGAAUAAGGAUCGGCUAACUACGUGCCAGCAGCCGCGGUAAUCAGGGGGAUUCAAGGGUUAUCCGGAUUUAUUGGGUUUAAAGGGUGCGUAGGCGGGUCGAUAAGCUAGAGGGGAAAUCCGGGUGCUCAACCCCGGCACUGCCGCUGAUACUGGCGGGCUAGAGUUUAGGUGCGGUAGGCGGAAUGUGUGGUGUAGCGGUGAAAUGCAUAGAGAUCACGCAGAACACCGAUUGCGAAGGCAGCAUACC
This 395-nucleotide ribosomal RNA is filed under the name uncultured bacterium. RNAcentral's name for it is "partial 16S ribosomal RNA". It matches the Rfam family "Bacterial small subunit ribosomal RNA", at positions 338 to 730 of the family's 1533-position model. The record is from RNAcentral.